CCUGAGUGCAGGCUUCUUUUUCUCUCUGGGUCCAAAGUUUUGAUUUGGGAACAACUGUCUCUUUAGGCAAAGCCCCCUCUUAUAAUCUGCAAAUGUAACCUGUCCCCCAAGGCCUACCCAUCACACUAGAUGACUUCUCAAUUUGGCUUAUUUUGUCUUAAAUAUUUCCAUAUCAACCCCUCUCAAAUCCAAUGUUAGUGAUGAGCCACAGAACAGUAAAUAUUUUAUUAGUAUUUCUCUUCAGUGUGAGGUGAAGACAAAAGCAAGCUCCAUCUGUUUCUUUGAUCUCAUAAACUCUUAUGCAUAAGUGCUUGGACCAAAAAGCCGUGUGCCCGUGCAUGGGAGUCAUGCUCUCACUCUUCAGGGACAACUCAUACUUUCCAAGCAUAGGGAAGACUCUCCAGAAAUAGGAAAGAUAAUAUCCUUUGAAUUGUAAUAUUUCAUUCAGUUGAAGUGAAGAUGCAUCUAGUUUUAACACUCAUCAGAACUCUUUUACCAAUUACAGCAUCUUAAAGUCAUCCAUCAAAUUUUAGGAAAAAUUAUUCGUUAUUUCCUUUAUAUCUGUGAAACUAAAGGGACAAUUGUAAUAAUACUCUCAAUUCAACAAAUUUUGCUUGAAAGGUUUACUGGUUCUCUGCUUUAAGAAUAGUUUUGUAGACUGAGGCUGUGACUCAGUGGCAGAGCACUUGUCUAGCAUGUGUGAGGCACUGGGUUCAAUCUUUAGCAUUGCAUACAAAAAUAAAUAAAGGCAUGCUGUCCAUCUACAAUUACAAAAUUUUUUUUAAAAAGAAAUAGUUUUUGUAUUAUAUUCAUUUGAGAAAAAAAUUGGAGUCCACCAAGCAUCUUCUAGUAGUUUGCUUACCCAGUAUCCCUUUCCCAGUAACUUGGAUAUUAGUAAAACAAAUUUCUAAUCAAUAAAUGUAGAUAUACUAUACUACAAAGUGUAUGCCUUAUAACCUUUCAUAGAACUUUCUUAGAAUACUGACUGCUAUGGUUCGAAAGUUUUCAAAACAUAUGUAGAAAUGUAAUUGCCAUUGUAACAGUAUUAAGAGGUAAGACUGUUAAGAGGUGAUUAGACCAUUCACCUUCAUGACUGGGAUUAAUUCUGUAAUAAAAGGACAAGGUCAACUCCCCUUUGCCUUCCUUUUACUCUUACAUCUCCCAACUACAUGAGCAUUCUAGAGGCCAACUCGGAAUUAGAAUUGUCAAACCUGCCCACGCUAUGGCUCCUUGAUAUCAGACUUAUGAGCCUACAGAACUGUGAGCCAAUAAAAUUAUAUUCAUUAAAGCUGCACAAAACAGAUUGAGAUACUUAAAGUCACUUUUGAAAUAAUGUAAUUAAGUCUAUGCUUAUUUGGUUUAGCAUUCUACAGGAGAUUUGAUGUAGCAAUGGAGCACAGAAAUUAGGGUUAUGUCCAGAUGGGUGGGGGAUUGAAUCGUGGUAGUGCUGCUGCCUGCUGGUGAUGUGCCUUGGGAAAGUUACUUAAUCUGCCAGCUUUCUCAUUGUAAAGUGGAUGUAUCUACCUUGCAGAAUUGUGGUAAGAUAAGGCCUAUAAAUCUUAUACCUUGAAACAUAUUAAGCACUGUCAUAAUUAUGAAUUGGAGUGGAGGAGAAAGAGCUACAAGAAUCAGGCACUCUGACAACAGUAAGAUGUGACUAUUUUUAGCCAGAUAGUGAGAAGACACCAUCUGUUUAGUAAUCUGCUCUAGAAUUUUCUUAGGAUCCAUAUUAAUUUGUCUCAGUUUUAAAAAUCCACCUUUUAGCCCAUUCUGAAAAUACAUGAGGCAUUAGCCAAUAUUUCCUGUUCUCCAAAAUUUCCUAGUUCCUAAAAUUUCUAUGAUCUCUGCAGAAAUCACCUAUUUACAAUUACCUGUUCUUCCAUUACUCCUAGUUACCAUUUGUCAUUGGCCUAAAAACGGGCACUAAAUAAAGUAACAACUAUUCAGUUCUUAGUUCCCUCUUUGGUAUUUGUUCAUCCUGUCAUUUUCAGUCUUAAGGUAGUUUUCAUUAACAAAGGACCUUAAGUUGAGUUGUUCUGACUUUUUAGCUUUGAAUAGUGUACUCCUUUCCAAAUUGUUAGCAUUUCUUUGAUUUCUUGCUCUAAAAGGUUAAAAAAAAAAACCCAAAACUUAUUUUUGGUGCCUUUAGCAUAUUUCAUGAAUUUCUUCUAUUUCUAAGCUGCU
Molecule: long non-coding RNA, 2184 nt
Filed under: Marmota monax (woodchuck)
Lineage: Eukaryota; Metazoa; Chordata; Mammalia; Rodentia; Sciuridae
Source: RNAcentral